GACUCCUACGGGAGGCAGCAGUGGGGAAUUUUCCGCAAUGGGCGCAAGCCUGACGGAGCAACGCCGCGUGAGGGAUGAAGGCCUCUGGGCUGUAAACCUCUUUUAUCAAGGAAGAAGAUCUGACGGUACUUGAUGAAUAAGCCACGGCUAAUUCCGUG
RNAcentral lists this ribosomal RNA (158 nucleotides) under uncultured freshwater bacterium. RNAcentral describes it as "partial 16S ribosomal RNA". It matches the Rfam family "Bacterial small subunit ribosomal RNA", at positions 334 to 507 of the family's 1533-position model. The record is from RNAcentral.